AUUGAACGCUGGCGGCAGGCCUAACACAUGCAAGUCGAACGGUAACAGGAAACAGCUUGCUGUUUCGCUGACGAGUGGCGGACGGGUGAGUAAUGUCUGGGAAACUGCCUGAUGGAGGGGGAUAACUACUGGAAACGGUAGCUAAUACCGCAUAACGUCGCAAGACCAAAGAGGGGGACCUUCGGGCCUCUUGCCAUCGGAUGUGCCCAGAUGGGAUUAGCUAGUAGGUGGGGUAACGGCUCACCUAGGCGACGAUCCCUAGCUGGUCUGAGAGGAUGACCAGCCACACUGGAACUGAGACACGGUCCAGACUCCUACGGGAGGCAGCAGUGGGGAAUAUUGCACAAUGGGCGCAAGCCUGAUGCAGCCACGCCGCGUGUAUGAAGAAGGCCUUCGGGUUGUAAAGUACUUUCAGCGGGGAUGAAGGGAGUAAAGUUAAUACCUUUGCUAAUUGACGUUACCCGCAGAAGAAGCACCGGCUAACUCCGUG
RNAcentral lists this ribosomal RNA (490 nucleotides) under uncultured bacterium. RNAcentral describes it as "partial 16S ribosomal RNA". It matches the Rfam family "Bacterial small subunit ribosomal RNA", at positions 30 to 507 of the family's 1533-position model. The record is from RNAcentral.